CACCGGUGAGGAACUUCCUGGAAAAGUGGCCACUGGAAAAGGCGGGACUUCCGCCGUCAGCUGAGGGCGGUGCGGCGCUCGCUGCUCCUCCCUAUGCUCGCGGGCAGUCCCGGCCCGGCCCGGCGGCUCCCUCAGCCCCGCGGACAGCGCUGCUUCUCCGGGGCGCGUACAGGGGAGCGGGGUACUGGGGGCCAGGAGCGUGGGGCGCGAAGGGAGACGCGCCCGCCUGCCGGGGCCUCAGCCUCCUUCCACAGCCGCCUUACUCAGUCCCCGCUCAAGUGCUGCCUGGCCCGUGUCUGACCGAGCCGUGCGCGCCGCCCGGCCGAGGGCUCCUGCAUCACCUCAGCGCGGGGCGGGCACGCUGUGCCCACGUCCGGGCGGCAGGUCGUCUUUCUUUCGUGCUGCAGCAGGUGCGAAUCUCCGCGGCUGUUGUUUUACAUGAGGGCUGCCCUUGUGUCAGCUGUGCUUUGGUCAAACUUGGAAUCAGCUCCACCGUUUCAGUUUUCCUGUAAAUAUCGUACGUGUCAGCUGGGAUGGCUGUGGGAUUCCUCUGACACCAGCAGUGCCCUCCGCAGAAGUCGAGCGUACCGAGCACCCUGCAGAGCUCUGACGGCAGCGCAGCUCCUUGCUGGGGGAGCGCCGGGAGAAAAGGUCUAACAGCAACAGUCCAACUCUUCUGAUCCAGGCCAGGCAGAGGAGGGGGCUUUCUGCUUGCAGACAUCAGGACGCAGUGCUGUGGCAGUGAGCAGUGAAACAGCAAUAGCUCAGUUCCAGGACCCCUGCAGUGCCCAGGCUCUCAAUCCAGCACAGAAAGCGACGCCCAGGAGCUGCCCAUGACAAAAACAGCCCCAGCGCCAGCAAGCUCUGUCGUGCCAGGGCUCCCCCAGGCACCAGCUGAUGCUGGAGGUCACCAGCACCCACUGUGCUGCUGGAGGGCUGUGGGGGCAGUGGAGAGCAGCAGGACUCAGCUCCCCCCGCGGUAUCUCACCGGUGUUUGGCUGCUUUCCAGGGGCAGCGGUGUGCAGGCUGCGAGCAGUGCACCUGCAGAGGAACGCACGGGCUGCCCAUGCUCACAACACGCUCCUUUCCAAAUGUUAUUUGAAAAAA
Molecule: long non-coding RNA, 1107 nt
Organism: Phasianus colchicus (ring-necked pheasant)
Lineage: Eukaryota; Metazoa; Chordata; Aves; Galliformes; Phasianidae
Source: RefSeq, a predicted model, not a curated record